RNAcentral lists this transfer RNA (88 nucleotides) under Paecilomyces variotii No. 5. RNAcentral's name for it is "Byssochlamys spectabilis No. 5 tRNA". It matches the Rfam family "tRNA". From Rfam's summary of the family: Transfer RNA (tRNA) molecules are approximately 80 nucleotides in length. Lineage: Eukaryota; Fungi; Ascomycota; Eurotiomycetes; Eurotiales; Thermoascaceae. The record is from Rfam by way of RNAcentral.
GGUUCUGUAGUGUAGCGGUUAUCACUCCGGAUUCUGAUUCCAAACAAGCAAUUUUCCGGCAACCCCGGUUCGAUUCCGGGCAGGACCU